GUUCCUUCACCGUUUCUUUCUGCCACUCAUUUUACAGAUGAGGAAACUGAGGCAGGCUGGGCCACGCGGGCUGGGAAGGGGUUCGCAGUUGGGCGCUCCCGACCACGGGCAGACGCUGUCUUAGGGCCGGGCGGGGGCGGGGGGACGGGCCGGAGCCCACUCUCACGCACCGAGCGAGAGGCGCGCGCUCUCCACUUUCACCGACUGUCUCCACUGCUCGAUGGAACAGGAGUUCUGAUAAUCCGCCACUUCCUCCACUGCGGGGGGCAAAGCAGAGAGGGGGGCUGGGAGCGGAGCCUGCAGGCUCCCGAUAUCCCUUCCCAGCCGCUCACCCUCUCCCCCGCGGGACCCAGGCGGGCGGGAGGGGGAAAGGUCGGGGAGGUCGGAGGGACGGAGCAAGUCUGCUCCCACAGCGCCUCAGGGCCCCAAGCCCUUUCCUGCCAUCUCGCCUCCCCCUGGCUCAGUUUCCCCGUCUGCAGAAGGAGCUGUUCUCGCUGGCUCCGGGCCCACGGAGGAGCCCCUGAAGGGGCAUCCUGGUCCUGCCCCCCCAUAUUGAGAGCCGGAGCCCCCCCUGGGAAUCCGGGGACCCCCCCCCUUUACCUUCCUCCAUGGGUUUGCAGAUCAGGAUGUUCUCGUAGGAGAUCGUGUCGUCAUCGUCUGUGGGAGAGGCCGGAGGAAAGCCCCGGGAGGUUGGGGAGCAGGCCCGGUACCUGCCGUGGCCACCUCCUCCGGGAGCCCUCCCUGAUUCCCCCCCCCCCCCCCGCCCCGUGUCUCACUCUGGGGCCUCCCCCUGGGACCUUAUAUUCCCUAGGAAAGCCGAAGGGCCACAGAAAGCGAGGCCCGCCUUCGGGAAGGACACCAAAAGUGGCCGAGGCCGGGAAGGCUCCUGCGGGCCUGCUGAGCCCCGAAGGUAGCGGGGCUUCCCACGGCAGGCAGGGGCCCGGCCGGCACAGAGGCCCAGGGGGGCACCCGGAUGAGCCACUGCCAACCCCGAAGGGGUGCUGGAAGGGGUUUAGGGGGAAGGCGGGCGGCGGAGGGGAAACCUUACAAAGGAUGCUGGGGGGAGAAUAG
Molecule: long non-coding RNA, 1071 nt
Filed under: Sarcophilus harrisii (Tasmanian devil)
Lineage: Eukaryota; Metazoa; Chordata; Mammalia; Dasyuromorphia; Dasyuridae
Description: lncRNA (ENSSHAG00000030625.1)
Source: RNAcentral